GAAAGGUACUUUUGUGUAGUAUGGUCAAUUUGUUGAGGUAUAAGUAUGGGAACGAGUCUAGAAGGUCCUUAGCACUGGUUUUAUCGAUGAGACUCAGCAAUGAUGGGACAUGGAUGAUGUUAUGAAAUUGAGGGACUAAUCUGGAAAGCUGCAGCGUCUACGGAGAAGUACAUGGAGGUUAGAUUUUUGAUUGAUUUUGCAGCAGAUUGUCACAUGCCUUGGUCAGGUUUACGG
This 234-nucleotide long non-coding RNA is filed under the name Eutrema salsugineum. RNAcentral describes it as "long non-coding RNA (ESAL_LNC001598)". Lineage: Eukaryota; Viridiplantae; Streptophyta; Magnoliopsida; Brassicales; Brassicaceae. The record is from RNAcentral.